This 253-nucleotide unclassified non-coding RNA is filed under the name fungal sp. RNAcentral's name for it is "partial contains 5.8S ribosomal RNA, internal transcribed spacer 2, and large subunit ribosomal RNA". Lineage: Eukaryota; Fungi. The record is from RNAcentral.
CGCACAUUGCGCCCCUCGGUAGCCCGGAGGGCAUACCUGUUCGAGCGUCAUUUAAUAAAUCAAAAUUAUGUUUUGAAAUUGGACCUUGUCGUUUUUUGUUCAAAAAACGGGUCUUGAAUAUGUCGGCAGCUUCUAACAAGCUUCAAGCGUAGUAAAUUUUAUCCCGUUUGAAUAAGCUUUUCAGGAGUUUUGCCUCUAAUUCUCCAUAUCAUAUUUUGACCUCGAAUCAGGUAGGGAUACCCGCUGAACUUAA